UUUGAAUGGCCGCGGUAUUUUGACCGUGCUAAGGUAGCAUAAUAUUAGUUUUUUUAUUGAAAGCUGGAAUGAAGGGUUGGAUGAAAAAAUAACUGUCUCUAAUUUAUUUUAUUAAAAUUUUAUUUUUAAGUUAAAAAGCUUAAAUUAUUUUAAAAGACGAGAAGACCCUAUAGAGUUUAAUAAAUAUUUUUAUUUUAAAAUUUAGUAUUUAAGGUUUUAAUAUUUAUAUUUAUUUAAUUGGGGUGAUUGAAAAAUUUAAUUAACUUUUUUUUUAUUAAAAUAUAAAUUUAUAAAAUUAUGAUCCAAUAUUUUUGAUUAUAAGAAUAAAUUACCUUAGGGAUAACAGCGUAAUUUUAUUAGAGAGUUCAAAUUGAAAAUAAAGAUUGCGACCUCGAUGUUGGAUUAAA
Molecule: ribosomal RNA, 407 nt
Filed under: Novofoudrasia regularis
Lineage: Eukaryota; Metazoa; Arthropoda; Insecta; Coleoptera; Chrysomelidae
Description: partial 16S ribosomal RNA
Source: RNAcentral